RNAcentral lists this ribosomal RNA (33 nucleotides) under Leucocoprinus variicolor. RNAcentral describes it as "Leucoagaricus variicolor partial 28S ribosomal RNA". Lineage: Eukaryota; Fungi; Basidiomycota; Agaricomycetes; Agaricales; Agaricaceae. The record is from RNAcentral.
CCUCAAAUCAGGUAGGACUACCCGCUGAACUAA